GGAAAAUCUAAACCAUGUUUAGAAUAACGGAGGGAAAAAGAGUGGAAUUAGCAAGAACCCAUUAAAGGCCCAGGUGUCUGAAGCAUGAACACAGGCACAACAAGAGAUUAGGUGGGGAAUAAAUGUGGUGCUUGCAGUGCUGCUUGCCGGUUUUGUUGCUUGUUACAGAUUAUAAAAAAAAUAAGCAAAAGAGGUAUUUAAGCGCGCAAAUGACAGAGCAGAACAUAUGAUUCUCUCUCUCUG
RNAcentral lists this unclassified non-coding RNA (243 nucleotides) under Hevea brasiliensis (rubber tree). The record is from RNAcentral. Lineage: Eukaryota; Viridiplantae; Streptophyta; Magnoliopsida; Malpighiales; Euphorbiaceae.